AGCUCCAAUAGCGUAUAUUAAAGUUGUUGCAGUUAAAAAGCUCGUAGUUGAAUUUCUGCGUCAGGCGGCGGUCCGCGGCCUUUGUGUCGUGUGUACUUGCGUGUCCUGGUGCAUGUUUUGUGGGGUGCGGCUGCCGGCGGCUUGACUGUCGUUGGUGUCGUGUUUUGAGCCCUGCAUCGAUUACUGUGAACAAAUUAGAGUGUUUAAAGCAGGCUUGAUUGCUUGAAUACAUUAGCAUGGAAUAAUGAUAUAGGACUUUGGUGCUAUUUCGUUGGUUGUGUACCAAGGUAAUGAUUAAUAGGGAUAGUUGGGGGUAUUCAUAUUUGAUUGUCAGAGGUGAAAUUCUUGGAUUUAUUAAAGAUGAACAAGUGCGAAAGCAUUUACCAAGGAUGUUUUCAUU
This 400-nucleotide ribosomal RNA is filed under the name phytoplankton environmental sample. RNAcentral's name for it is "partial small subunit ribosomal RNA". It matches the Rfam family "Eukaryotic small subunit ribosomal RNA", at positions 587 to 974 of the family's 1831-position model. The record is from RNAcentral.